CCAGAAUGGAAAGAUCAAUUGGAAGAUCGAUACAAAAUGUGUCUCUGAUGAAUGUUGGACCAAAGGGAGUAAACAGAACCCAAGACAUCUAACAAAAUGUUCCCCAGAAUUAAGAUGAACACCAAAGAGAAUAGAUAAUUUUAUGGAAACUAUGUUGGUGGGAUCCACUUCCAGCUGUGUGGCACUGUCAUGAGACCUUAUAUUUUGAAUUGGAGACUUGUGUUCUAAUAUAUGCAUAGGUUUUCUGCUCUUUGGUGCUUUAGCUUCAUUCAACAAAUGUUAAUGUUUUAUUUUCAUUUAUAUUCACUUUAAUGUAAUUUUUAGAAAUUUUAUCUAAUAUUUUUUUUCUUUAACCCAUGGAUUAUUUAUUUCUAACACUGUCACAGAGAUGAAGUCAGAGCGUCUACUUAUAGCCUUGCAAGGGUAAAAUUGUAGGUGCCCCACUUGAUUUUUUUUUCAAGGAUGGAAGUUGGGCCAUAGAUAUUUUCUGUGUUGUUUACCUGAGUAAGGAUGUUAUUCUCUAAAAGUUGUCUCUCCUGCUAUGCUACCUCUUUCUUGGCCCUUUUGCUUCAAAAAAAGGAGGCUUUCUUGGGGGAUAUUUCUCUAUCUGUUCUCAUUGAUGUUUCCAGAUUGCUGGUUUCCUCAAUUUCAGGAUUUUCAUAUAUGAUGAAAAAAAAAAAAUCCAGUGGGCUCACCACUAUGUCAUUCCUUUGGAUCCAAGUCUCUAGUGGGUCCAACUUCUCUCCACGUUUCAGAGUCUUAAGUGACUUUUAAAUUAUUAUUUAUUUAUAUAUAAAUUAAUUCGUGUAAUUAAUAAUUAUAAAUAAUGAUUUAAAAGACAUUUAAGAAGACUCUGAAUUUAUUUAUUAUUGUUAAGUUCCGGUGUUUUUAGCUGUACUUAACAGAGGAAGUAAGAAAGAUUACAUCUACUUCAUUGUCCCAGAGGAUGAAUAAUAAUGUUGCUCUUAGUAUUGCUUUAAAAUUUCAAAGAAACAACCAUCUCUUUUUGUCUACUUUACCAUACACACCUAUUAUUCUACUUUUUUCUCCCAUCUUUACCCAAGGCUUAGAAUUACAUUGUACUUAUGCUUUUCAUAAUUCAGUGAAUGUAACUUGUAAAUCAUGCAUAGUCAUUAUAAUGCCUCCUUGCUGUUACAUGUUAUUUUUCCUUUUUCCAAUAUUGAACAAUAUUAGUGUAAAUUAGAAAUUAGUUUAUUUCUUCCAUAGUGAGAUAUUUCUAUAAUUUUUAUUAUCUUAUUUUUAUCAUUUAUUGAAAUAUUAUUCAUGUCUGUGUAGGAAAUGGAAAAAAAUUUCUCAAACUUCUAAUGACCCAUACUUUGACUACAAAUAUUAUCUUUAAAUAUUGCUGUUAAUGUUUUAUACACACAAACUACACAAGAAAAAUAUGAAAGACAUUUGAUUUUGGAAUCACUAGCAGGGUACCUGGCAUAUGGAUGUUACAAAAUAUUUAAAAUACAUCAUUACAUAAUCUCAACUGCAGAGGAAAAAAAUGAGAAACUUCUACUUGCUUAUUGAGAACUACUUCUAAU
This 1550-nucleotide long non-coding RNA is filed under the name Homo sapiens (human). Its description in RNAcentral is "HSALNT0271602". The record is from RNAcentral. Lineage: Eukaryota; Metazoa; Chordata; Mammalia; Primates; Hominidae.